GACGAACGCUGGCGGCGUGCUUAACACAUGCAAGUCGAACGGAAAGGCCCUGCUUUUGUGGGUUUCUCGAGUGGCGAACGGGUGAGUAACACGUGAGUAACCUCCCCUUAUCUUUGGGAUAUCUUCUGGAAACUGGGGCUCUUACCGCGUAUAACCUCUUGCUCCGUGUGGUUGGAUGGAGAAUUUCGGCCGUUGUGGCUGGUAUAGCGGCUUAUGCGCUUGCUGGUGUGGUUGGUGCUUUCGAAGCCUUUGACGGGUAGCCGGCAUGAGAGCGGUACCGGCCACAAUGGGACUGAGAGACGGACCAGACUCGUACGGGAGGCAACAGUGGAGAACAUUGCAGAAUGGGCGGAAGCCUGAGGAAGAAACCCCGCGUGCGGGAUGACGGCCUUUGGGUUGUAAACAGAUGUCGCAUGAGACGAAGAGUGAGUGACGGUAAUGAGUAAAGAAGCAACGGCUAACUACGUG
Molecule: ribosomal RNA, 468 nt
Filed under: uncultured bacterium
Lineage: Bacteria
Description: partial 16S ribosomal RNA
Rfam family: Bacterial small subunit ribosomal RNA
Source: RNAcentral